GACGAACGCUGGCGGCGUGCCUAAUACAUGCAAGUUGAGCGCUGAAGGUUGGUACUUGUACCAACUGGAUGAGCAGCGAACGGGUGAGUAACGCGUGGGGAAUCUGCCUUUGAGCGGGGGACAACAUUUGGAAACGAAUGCUAAUACCGCAUAAAAACUUUAAACACAAGUUUUAAGUUUGAAAGAUGCAAUUGCAUCACUCAAAGAUGAUCCCGCGUUGUAUUAGCUAGUUGGUGAGGUAAAGGCUCACCAAGGCGAUGAUACAUAGCCGACCUGAGAGGGUGAGCGGCCACAUUGGGACUGAGACACGGCCCAAACGCCUACGGGAAGCAGCAGUAGGGAAUCUUCGGCAAUGGACGAAAGUCUGAACGAGCAACGCCGCGGGAGUGAAGAAGGUUUUCGGAUCGUAAAACUCUGUUGGUAGAGAAGAACGUUGGUGAGAGUGGAAAGCUCAUCAAGUGACGGUAACUACCCAGAAAGGGACGGCUAACUACGUG
This 497-nucleotide ribosomal RNA is filed under the name uncultured bacterium. Its description in RNAcentral is "partial 16S ribosomal RNA". It matches the Rfam family "Bacterial small subunit ribosomal RNA", at positions 28 to 507 of the family's 1533-position model. The record is from RNAcentral.